GCUGGCCUUGUGACCACCCAAGGCUUGGUAAGAAGAAAACGCCUUGUCGCACACGCUGCACUUGAAGAGAAGCUUCUGGUCAGAGGACGACGUCGUUGCAGCAGUAGAUGGAGCAGGAGACUUCUGUCGCUGUGAGGCGGUGGUGGUCGUGUUGCAGUUAGUUAAGACGGCGGUGGAGGUUGUGCCACGUGCAAGCAUGACGAGGCAGAGCGCGAGAUACUCUUCUUCAGUUGGAGGAUU
RNAcentral lists this long non-coding RNA (240 nucleotides) under Citrus maxima (pomelo). RNAcentral's name for it is "long non-coding RNA (CMAX_LNC001535)". Lineage: Eukaryota; Viridiplantae; Streptophyta; Magnoliopsida; Sapindales; Rutaceae. The record is from RNAcentral.